GGGCCCGUAGCUCAGCCAGGUAGAGCGGCGGGCUCUUAAUACCCGUAGGUCCCGGGUUCAAAUCCCGGCGGGC
Molecule: transfer RNA, 73 nt
Filed under: Sulfolobus acidocaldarius DSM 639
Lineage: Archaea; Thermoproteati; Thermoproteota; Thermoprotei; Sulfolobales; Sulfolobaceae
Description: tRNA-Lys
Rfam family: tRNA
About the family: Transfer RNA (tRNA) molecules are approximately 80 nucleotides in length. Their secondary structure includes four short double-helical elements and three loops (D, anti-codon, and T loops).
Source: RNAcentral